UACGUAGGGGGCAAGCGUUGUCCGGAAUCAUUGGGCGUAAAGCGCGCGUAGGCGGCUCUGUAAGUCCGUUGUGAAAGUCAAAGGCUCAACCUUUGAAAGCCGAUGGAUACUGCAGAGCUAGAGUCCGGAAGAGGCGAGUGGAAUUCCUGGUGUAGCGGUGGAAUGCGCAGAUAUCAGGAGGAACACCAAUAGCGAAGGCAGCUCGCUGGGACGGUACUGACGCUAAGGCGCGAAAGCGUGGGGAGCGAACAGG
Molecule: ribosomal RNA, 253 nt
Filed under: uncultured bacterium
Lineage: Bacteria
Description: partial 16S ribosomal RNA
Rfam family: Bacterial small subunit ribosomal RNA
Source: RNAcentral